Long non-coding RNA from Amphiprion ocellaris (clown anemonefish), 1002 nucleotides. RefSeq lists it as uncharacterized. The transcript has 4 exons. The record is from RefSeq and is a predicted model, not a curated record. NCBI's taxonomy places the organism in Eukaryota, Metazoa, Chordata, Actinopteri, Pomacentridae.
CCCAGCAAAAAAAAAAAAAAAAAAAAAAAAAAAAAAAAAAAAAAACAAGAGAGGCACUCAGAGAGCGCAGUACUCAGCCAAGGACGACAUCGCGGCCGUGUACCUGGGCAUGACGUCACCACGCUCUCCAGGGAGGCUGGAGUCUAUCCCAGACGACUCAGGGCGAAGGUCCAAGGAGACACCUUGGACAGGUUGCCUGUCCAUCGCAGACACAUUCACACCUUCGGACAAUUUAGAAUCACAAAUUAAUCUGCAUGUGGUUGGACUGUGGGAGGAAGCCAGAGAACCCAUGGCAGCGAGCACACAGAAUGGAACAACCUGCGCCUACCAGCAUCUCACCUUCCUACUUCAUCUCAGUGACGGGCUGCAGGCACAUACAGGCGCACAUGAAACUAGAUGAACUGGAGAGCAGCAGCAGAAACAGAGGGACACCGAAGGCAUUAUCCUAAGCUUUCAAAGAGCAGUCGCCUCUUCACUCACCUGCCUCCAUGCUGCUGGAAGCUCCACGCUGAAGAGACGCUGACAGUCGCUGAGAGCUGCUCCCUGUUUCUCUGCACCUCGCCUUCUUAUUGCCGCUUCCAGCCCUAGCAGUGGCUGUAAAGCUUGUCACACUGAGCUCCGCACACCGGAAAGUGAGAGACGCUGUGCUCAAAAUAAAGUGGCUUGACUACAGAGAAUAUGAGGGAGAGAACUUUGGUUUCUUGCAACAACACCACACAGCUGUGGUUAUUUAAUGUUAUUUUGAUUUAGUUGCCGUAUUCUGCUUUUCUGCUCAGUAAUAAUAUUAAUUCCCAGUGUAAUACAUUUGAUUUAGUUCAUACUUUAUGCACUUGUCAUAUCCAGAGAUUCUUUAGAAGUAGAGUGUCUGCUCUUUUUUGUUGUCUGCAGGCUGCACCUGCACAGUUAUCAAUGGCUAAUAUUGAUAUCUAAUAUAAUACCUUGAUGGAAGAGGUGCUUGGACCAGUGUAGCAUUUUGAAUAACCGAGUUGAUAAUAAAAUACA